This 144-nucleotide unclassified non-coding RNA is filed under the name uncultured Capnodiales. RNAcentral describes it as "sequence contains ITS2". Lineage: Eukaryota; Fungi; Ascomycota; Dothideomycetes; Capnodiales. The record is from RNAcentral.
AACCCUCUCAAGCCUGGCUUGGUGUUGGGCGCCGGGGACCGACCCGCGCCUCAAUUUCGCCGGCUGACCGCCCGUAUCCUUCAGCGUUGUGACAUCAAUUCGCUGGCGGGGGCGACGGUUGCGCCGUGAGAACCCCAAUCAAAA